GACGGGGGGGGCAAGUGUUCUUCGGAAUGACUGGGCGUAAAGGGCAACGUAGGCGGUGAAUCGGGUUGAAAGUGAAAGUCGCCAAAAAGUGGCGGAAUGCUCUCGAAACCAAUUCACUUGAGUGAGACAGAGGAGAGUGGAAUUUCGUGUGUAGGGGUGAAAUCCGUAGAUCUACGAAGGAACGCCAAAAGCGAAGGCAGCUCUCUGGGUCCCUACCGACGCUGGGGUGCGAAA
RNAcentral lists this ribosomal RNA (234 nucleotides) under uncultured bacterium. RNAcentral describes it as "partial 16S ribosomal RNA". It matches the Rfam family "Bacterial small subunit ribosomal RNA", at positions 524 to 758 of the family's 1533-position model. The record is from RNAcentral.